This 457-nucleotide ribosomal RNA is filed under the name uncultured bacterium. RNAcentral describes it as "bacterial SSU rRNA". It matches the Rfam family "Bacterial small subunit ribosomal RNA", at positions 44 to 518 of the family's 1533-position model. The record is from RNAcentral.
AUGCUUCAUACAUGCAAGUCGAACGAUAAGGUCUCUUCGGAGAUACAUAAGUGGCGGACGGGUGAGUAAUAUGUAGGAAAUCGUGCCCUUGAGAGGGGGACAACAGAGGGAAACUUCUGCUAAUACCCCAUAUGAGCGUACCUGAAAUGGUAUUCUUGAAAACUCCGGUGCUCAAGGAUGAGCCUGCAUCUGAUUAGCUUGUUGGCGGUGUAAUGGACCACCAAGGCGACGAUCCAGUAGCUGGUUUGAGAGGAUGAUCAGCCACAAUGGGACUGAGACACGGCCCAUACUCCUACGGGAGGCAGCAGUAGGGAAUUUUGCGCAAUGGGCGAAAGCCUGAACCGCAGCAAUGCCGCGUGAACGUAGAAGCCCUUCGGGGUGUAAAGUUCUGUCAGUGGGGACGAAUUCUGACGGUACCCACAGAGGAAGCACCGGCUAACUACGUGCCAGCCGCCGC